Molecule: ribosomal RNA, 24 nt
Filed under: Iris domestica
Lineage: Eukaryota; Viridiplantae; Streptophyta; Magnoliopsida; Asparagales; Iridaceae
Description: partial 18S ribosomal RNA
Source: RNAcentral
UCGCGAGAAGUCCACUGAAGCUUA